UGGGGAAUAUUGGACAAUGGGCGCAAGCCUGAUCCAGCCCAUACCGCGUGGGUGAAGAAGGCCUUCCAGGUUGUAAAGCCCUUUUGUUGGGAAAGAAAAGCAGUCAUUAAUACUCGGUUGCUCUGACGGUACCCAAAGAAUAAGCACCGGCUAACUUCGUGA
Molecule: ribosomal RNA, 162 nt
Filed under: uncultured bacterium
Lineage: Bacteria
Description: partial 16S ribosomal RNA
Rfam family: Bacterial small subunit ribosomal RNA
Source: RNAcentral